Molecule: ribosomal RNA, 427 nt
Filed under: Paenibacillaceae bacterium BF.94
Lineage: Bacteria; Bacillati; Bacillota; Bacilli; Caryophanales; Paenibacillaceae
Description: bacterial SSU rRNA
Rfam family: Bacterial small subunit ribosomal RNA
Source: RNAcentral
AGUUAGCGGCGGACGGGUGAGUAACACGUGGGUAACCUGCCUGUAAGACUGGGAUAACAUUCGGAAACGAAUGCUAAUACCGGAUACGCGGCUUGGUCGCAUGACCGAGCCGGGAAAGAUGGAGCAAUCUAUCACUUAUAGAUGGACCCGCGGCGCAUUAGCUAGUUGGUGAGGUAACGGCUCACCAAGGCGACGAUGCGUAGCCGACCUGAGAGGGUGAUCGGCCACACUGGGACUGAGACACGGCCCAGACUCCUACGGGAGGCAGCAGUAGGGAAUCUUCCGCAAUGGACGAAAGUCUGACGGAGCAACGCCGCGUGAGUGAUGAAGGUUUUCGGAUCGUAAAGCUCUGUUGCCAGGGAAGAAUGCUUGGGAGAGUAACUGCUCUCAAGGUGACGGUACCUGAGAAGAAAGCCCCGGCUAACUA